UACGGAGGGUGCAAGCGUUGUCCGGAUUUAUUGGGUUUAAAGGGUGCGUAGGCGGCCCUGUAAGUCAGUGGUGAAAUUCUUGAGCUUAACUGAAGGAUUGCCAUUGAUACUGUAGGGCUUGAGUACAGAUGAGGUAGGCGGAAUUGAUGGUGUAGCGGUGAAAUGCAUAGAUACCAUCAAAAACACCGAUUGCGAAGGCAGCUUACUAAGCUGUAACUGACGCUGAUGCACGAAAGCGUGGGGAUCGAACAGG
RNAcentral lists this ribosomal RNA (253 nucleotides) under uncultured bacterium. RNAcentral's name for it is "partial 16S ribosomal RNA". It matches the Rfam family "Bacterial small subunit ribosomal RNA", at positions 524 to 776 of the family's 1533-position model. The record is from RNAcentral.